RNAcentral lists this ribosomal RNA (734 nucleotides) under uncultured archaeon. RNAcentral describes it as "bacterial SSU rRNA". It matches the Rfam family "Archaeal small subunit ribosomal RNA", at positions 731 to 1336 of the family's 1478-position model. The record is from RNAcentral.
CGAUUGAAAANCCAAAUAUGCUAUGUCNUUCAACAACUAACUACCCCGAGUAGUCCUGGCUGUAAACUCUGCGAGCAAGGUGUUGCACAUUCUUCGAGGAUGUGCAGUGUCGAAGAGAAGUCGUUAAGCUCGCCGCCUGGGGAGUACGGUCGCAAGACUGAAACUUAAAGGAAUUGGCGGGGGAGUACUACAAGGGGUGCGGCGUGCGGUUUAAUUUAAUUCAACGCAGCGAAUCUCACCAGGGGCGACGGCAGAAUGAAGGCCAGACUAACGGUCUUGCCAGACAAGCCGAGAGAUGGUGCAUGGCCACCGGCAGCUCGUGCCGUGUAACCUCUUAGGAAAAGCUUAACCAAAACAGCCUCACCUAAAGGUUCGGCAAAGGUGUCGUGUUAAAAAUUGCGUGUUACGUUUUCAUGUAAGCGCAGCUUGCACAGAGUCACGCAACGAGCGAGACCUGCACCCACAAUUGCCAACGGACUCAGAGACCGGGAACGUUGAGGGGACUGCCCUCGUAAGGGGGAGGAAGGCGCAGGCCACGGUAAGUCCGUACGCCUCGAAUCUCCUGGGCUACACGCGCGCAACAGAGGCAGGAACAAUGGGACGCAACACCGAAAGGUGAAGCUAAUCCUCUAAAUCCUGUCGAGGUCCAGAUCGAGGGCUGUAACUCGCCCUCGUGACGUUGGAAUCCCUAGUAAUCGGACGUCAACAUCGUCUGGUGAACAUGUCCCUGCUCC